RNAcentral lists this ribosomal RNA (1435 nucleotides) under uncultured organism. RNAcentral describes it as "SSU rRNA". It matches the Rfam family "Bacterial small subunit ribosomal RNA". The record is from RNAcentral.
UUGAUGAACGCUAGCUACAGGCUUAACACAUGCAAGUCGAGGGGCAGCAUGGUCUUAGCUUGCUAAGGCCGAUGGCGACCGGCGCACGGGUGAGUAACACGUAUCCAACCUGCCGUCUACUCUUGGACAGCCUUCUGAAAGGAAGAUUAAUACAAGAUGGCAUCAUGAGUCCGCAUGUUCACAUGAUUAAAGGUAUUCCGGUAGACGAUGGGGAUGCGUUCCAUUAGAUAGUAGGCGGGGUAACGGCCCACCUAGUCUUCGAUGGAUAGGGGUUCUGAGAGGAAGGUCCCCCACAUUGGAACUGAGACACGGUCCAAACUCCUACGGGAGGCAGCAGUGAGGAAUAUUGGUCAAUGGGCGAGAGCCUGAACCAGCCAAGUAGCGUGAAGGAUGACUGCCCUAUGGGUUGUAAACUUCUUUUAUAAAGGAAUAAAGUCGGGUAUGGAUACCCGUUUGCAUGUACUUUAUGAAUAAGGAUCGGCUAACUCCGUGCCAGCAGCCGCGGUAAUACGGAGGAUCCGAGCGUUAUCCGGAUUUAUUGGGUUUAAAGGGAGCGUAGAUGGAUGUUUAAGUCAGUUGUGAAAGUUUGCGGCUCAACCGUAAAAUUGCAGUUGAUACUGGAUAUCUUGAGUGCAGUUGAGGCAGGCGGAAUUCGUGGUGUAGCGGUGAAAUGCUUAGAUAUCACGAAGAACUCCGAUUGCGAAGGCAGCCUGCUAAGCUGCAACUGACAUUGAGGCUCGAAAGUGUGGGUAUCAAACAGGAUUAGAUACCCUGGUAGUCCACACGGUAAACGAUGAAUACUCGCUGUUUGCGAUAUACUGCAAGCGGCCAAGCGAAAGCGUUAAGUAUUCCACCUGGGGAGUACGCCGGCAACGGUGAAACUCAAAGGAAUUGACGGGGGCCCGCACAAGCGGAGGAACAUGUGGUUUAAUUCGAUGAUACGCGAGGAACCUUACCCGGGCUUAAAUUGCAGAUGAAUUACGGUGAAAGCCGUAAGCCGCAAGGCAUCUGUGAAGGUGCUGCAUGGUUGUCGUCAGCUCGUGCCGUGAGGUGUCGGCUUAAGUGCCAUAACGAGCGCAACCCUUGUUGUCAGUUACUAACAGGUUCCGCUGAGGACUCUGACAAGACUGCCAUCGUAAGAUGUGAGGAAGGUGGGGAUGACGUCAAAUCAGCACGGCCCUUACGUCCGGGGCUACACACGUGCUACAAUGGGGGGUACAGAGGGCCGCUACCACGCGAGUGGAUGCCAAUCCCCAAAACCUCUCUCAGUUCGGACUGGAGUCUGCAACCCGACUCCACGAAGCUGGAUUCGCUAGUAAUCGCGCAUCAGCCACGGCGCGGUGAAUACGUUCCCGGGCCUUGUACACACCGCCCGUCAAGCCAUGGGAGCCGGGGGUACCUGAAGUGCGUAACCGCGAGGAGCGCCCUAGGGUAA